Dermochelys coriacea (leatherback sea turtle) is the source of this 1572-nucleotide long non-coding RNA. RefSeq lists it as uncharacterized. The record is from RefSeq and is a predicted model, not a curated record. The transcript has 2 exons. Lineage: Eukaryota; Metazoa; Chordata; Testudines; Dermochelyidae.
UGCUCUAGGACCUGGCCCAAAGCCCACUGAGGCCAGUGUGAUCAGGCCCACCACUCAUCAUUAGUUGACUGACUUCUUGCAUGUAUCACAGCAAAGGUGGGUCUUGAGAGAGGAUCUGAAGCAGGCUGUAGCAUUGUGGACUCAGUUGGGAGGGGGCAGCACAAGAAAGUGUGGAGACAGGUACGGGAGAAGUGAAUAAUCAGAUGGUCAAAGUUGGCCUCUGACACAGAAAAUCGUACUAUCACAAUCUGAUUCCAGAUGGCCUUAAUCCUGAGCAGAUGCCAUGAAUGCACCUUAAUUCUGGCAUUUCCUAACUUCUGAGUGCUGGACUUUGCUACCUUAAUGUUCGUAUAAUGUAGUUUUGUGUAUGUAUAUUAGACAUACACACAUGAAAGUUGCAAAGUCAAGGAUUCGAAAGCUAGGAAAUGCCAGAACCAAUGGUGCUGUGGUGCGUAUGCAUCAUGGAACCAUCUUUAAUUGAAUGAUCACAUAAUAUGUUGAUCAUGGAAGGGCUAGAGCAUGGAAGGGCUAGCAGCAUAUUUCAAUAUGGGCAAAACUAAAUAUUUUCCUUUAGCCUUGAUCUAGGAAACGGCUGAAGCACUUUGGCUGUACUUUUCAAAAAAAUAUUCAGCCUGAGAUAGACACCCAGCAAGGAAUAUCUCAUCCUAAAUGGCUAGAGUCUAGCCAAGUUAUAAGCAAUUGAAAAUAGGGACUUAUACUGGGACGUACCAGGCAACCUUAAUAAUAGGUGGUGCUACCUGCUCUGCCCAUAAUAAAAUGAGACUUUUUACUUCUGUGAUGUGAACUCUUUGCGUACGUCUCCAAAACUGAACUGCUUUUACUGCAGCCAUAUAACAAUGCACUCAUAUGUAAUGUCCUGUCCGCUGCCACCCUUACAGUACACCUCAGGUUCCUACGUCUUGCUAGGUAUGAGUAUUUUGGAUUAUUUACCAAAACCAUCAGCUUGCAUUUUCCAGGCUGAAUCUCAGUUUAAUUCUGCCUGUUUCUAUUCUCUCCAAGUCCCUUUGGCAUUCCAGUUACAGCCCAAUGUACAUGGGUAACCCACCCACAAGAUGGGGAGGAAACAAGAGACUUUAAAAAAAAAAAAAAAAAGAAAACAAUUGAUAGCAUUAUAUUUUCAAGAAUGCUUGUUAAAUAAAGCUUGUCCUGCAUGCAAAAGGUUAACUCUUUUAUUACAUAAUUUAAAAAGAGUCAGGCUGAACAGCUAAUUCCCAUGAAGCAGAACUGGCAAAGAAUAAAUAAUCUCAGCAUAACAAAGGGUAGCGGUUUUUCGUUUGGAGAUCUCAUUAUGACAAAACGCUAAGUCUGUCUAGUAUUACUUUGUCCUCACAGUUUAGUCAAAUGCUUCAACAAAUGUCUCACACAAACCCUGGCUACUGAAGUGAGCAGGCACUCUUAAAUGAAGGAUGGAUAACAUUUUUGUAACUGACCAGAUGAAACAGAACCUUUAGAGAUGAAACUUGCAUUUAUUUAGAGAGGAUGUGUAGUUUUCUGGCUCAACCUUAUAUUUCCAGUGCACGUUUACUGUCUGCUGACAUCUAAGUUUGAAAA